AGGUGUUGAGAUUCUUGCGAGAGCGCCGUCACCAUCUUCUAGAGAUGGAGUGUUGCACGUUGAGGGGAAGACCCUGGCUGGUGGUGGACAGCUGCUGCUGCUGUUCACUCAAGAGAGGAGUCUAUAUCAUCGCCUCCCUUGAGAUACUUGCUUGCUUCGUCUCGAUAAUUCUGUUAUUGGUUCAUAUGAAGUUUCCAGAUAUGGUGGGAAGAAUCUUGGAGUUACUGGCUCAUAUCGUCAUCACUUCCAUUCUUAUCUACGGAGUUAAAAAGGUCCGUUCCAUUUACCCAUGACUAAUAAAGGUUCAUUUCCACUUAUUCAUGAUUAACAAAGGUACGUUUCCACUUAGCCAUGACUAGCAAAGGUUCGUUUUCACUCAGUCAUAGCUAAUGAAGGGUCGUUUCCUCUUAACCAUGACUAACAAAGACUGGUUUCCACUUAGCUUUGACUAACAAAGGUUUGUUCCCUCUUAGCCAUGACUAACAAAGUGUACUUGGUCAUCGUAACAUCUUUGGCAAUGACCAGGCUGAUAACCUAGCUAAAUCGGCCUCUGGCUCGAGAUUUCCCAGGGAAACCUCUGGGCCACUGCUUUUUUGGGAAAGAAAUCACUAGACCAGUGGUAAAGACGGAAGUUCUCAGGGAGGUACUACCGUCCUGCCAACUGCGUGUGGAGCAGAAACCUGUAGUUGUUUUACAUAUUGGUAAGAAUGCUGGUAUCUUUUUCUUUCUGUCUCAUAAACACGUAAGAACACUAGUACGUCUUGCUACUUCUACUUACACUUAGUCACACUAAAUAUACAUGUACAAGUAUAUGUGUACAUACCGAUCUGAAUUU
Non-coding RNA from Cherax quadricarinatus, 835 nucleotides. The record is from RefSeq and is a predicted model, not a curated record. Lineage: Eukaryota; Metazoa; Arthropoda; Malacostraca; Decapoda; Parastacidae.